RNAcentral lists this small nuclear RNA (102 nucleotides) under Dasypus novemcinctus (nine-banded armadillo). Lineage: Eukaryota; Metazoa; Chordata; Mammalia; Cingulata; Dasypodidae. The record is from RNAcentral.
GUGCUCACUUCGGCAGCACAUGUACUAAAAUUGGAACACAGAAGAUUAGUAUGGCCCCCGUGCAAGGAUGACACGCAAAUUUGUGAAGUGUACCAUAUUUUU